RNAcentral lists this ribosomal RNA (507 nucleotides) under uncultured Glomus. RNAcentral describes it as "SSU rRNA". It matches the Rfam family "Eukaryotic small subunit ribosomal RNA", at positions 568 to 1077 of the family's 1831-position model. The record is from RNAcentral. Lineage: Eukaryota; Fungi; Glomeromycota; Glomeromycetes; Glomerales; Glomeraceae.
CAGCAGCCGCGGUAAUUCCAGCUCCAAUAGCGUAUAUUAAAGUUGUUGCAGUUAAAAAGCUCGUAGUUGAAUUUCGGGAUCAAUAUAUCGGUCAUGCUUAGGUAUGUACUGGUAUUAUUGAUUUCUCCCUUCUGAAGAACCAUGAUGUCAUUUAUUUGAUGUCGUGGGGAAUCAGGACUGUUACUUUGAAAAAAUUAGAGUGUUUAAAGCAGGCUUUCGCUUGAAUACAUUAGCAUGGAAUAAUGAAAUAGGACGUUUGAUUCUAUUUUGUUGGUUUCUAGGAUCGACGUAAUGAUUAAUAGGGAUAGUUGGGGGCAUUAGUAUUCAAUUGUCAGAGGUGAAAUUCUUGGAUUUAUUGAAGACUAACUACUGCGAAAGCAUUUGCCAAGGACGUUUUCAUUAAUCAAGAACGAAAGUUAGGGGAUCGAAGACGAUCAGAUACCGUCGUAGUCUUAACCAUAAACUAUGCCGACUAGGGAUCGGAUGAUGUUAAUUUUUUAAUGACUC